This 517-nucleotide ribosomal RNA is filed under the name Pseudanthias leucozonus. Its description in RNAcentral is "partial 12S rRNA". It matches the Rfam family "Bacterial small subunit ribosomal RNA", at positions 317 to 991 of the family's 1533-position model. Lineage: Eukaryota; Metazoa; Chordata; Actinopteri; Perciformes; Anthiadidae. The record is from RNAcentral.
CUCCCCACCCGGAAGUAAGGAGCAGGUAUCAGGCACAUUAUUAUAGCCCACAACACCUUGCUUAGCCACACCCCUAAGGGAACUCAGCAGUGAUAAAUAUUAAGCCAUAAGUGUAAACUUGACUUAACUAUCGCUAAGAGGGCCGGUAAACCUCGUGCCAGCCACCGCGGUUAUACGAGGGGCCCAAGUUGACAGCCAUCGGCGUAAAGCGUGGUUAAGAAUAAAUAUAGAUUAAAGCCGAACGCAAACUAAGCUGUUAUACGCAAUCGAAAAUGGAAGCCCAAUUACGAAAGUAGCUUUAUAUAACUGACCCCACGAAAGCCAGGGCACAAACUGGGAUUAGAUACCCCACUAUGCCUGGCCCUAAACAUUGAUAGUUUAUUACACCCACUAUCCGCCUGGGAACUACGAGCAAAACUUGAAACCCAAAGGACUUGGCGGUGCUUUAGACCCAUCUAGAGGAGCCUGUCCUAGAACCGAUAAUCCCCGUUCAACCUUACCUUUUCUUGUAUAUACC